ACAGUUCUUAUCCUAGCCUAACCCCCUUUGACCAUAAAAAUCAAUAAACUUCAACUAAAACCGAUUAAAACAUUUUUUACCUUUAGUAUAUGCGAAAAAAAAAGAAACCAGAGCAAUAGAGAUAGUACCGCAAGGGAAAGGUGAAAUAGUAAUGAAAUAAUAUACAACAUAAAAAAGCAAAGAUUAAAUCUUAUACCUUUGCAUCAUGGCCUAACAAGUCUAACCAGGCAAAAUGGAAUUCUAGUCUGACCCCCCGAAACUAAGUGAGCUACUCCGAAGCACUUAAAUAACCCGUCUCUGUGGCAAAAGAGUGGGUAGACUUCCGAGUAGAGGCGAAAAACCUAUCGAACUUAGUGAUAGCUGGUUGCUCAAGAAAAGAAUUUUAGUUCUGUCUUAAAAAAUUUAAACACUUAAAGUAUAUUUUAAGAAUUAUUCAAUUAGGGUACAGCCUAAUUGAAAUAGGAUACAACCUAAAUUUUAGGAUAAUGAUUAAACCUAAAAAAGUUAAAGGUUAAGUUGGCUUAAAAGCAGCCAUCUUUUAAAAAGCGUCAAAGCUUGACCUUAUACCCACUUUUAUCUUAUUAAUUUUUCAAAAUCCAAUAUUACUACUGAGCUAUUCUAUACUUUUAUAGAAGUAUUAAUGUUAGGACUAGUAACUAGAAUUAUUUCUCUUCCAUGUAAGUAAAAAUCAGUUCGAAUACCUCACUGAUAACUACCCAGAUUUGAAUAUAAAGUAAUUUUGAAAUUUACCCAUGAAAAUACUACUUUUUCUUCUGUUAACCUUACACAAGAAUAUGCAAGAAAGAUUUAAAGACUAAGAAGGAACUCGGCAAACACUAGUCUCGCCUGUUUACCAAAAACAUCGCCUUUUGAAAAUUAUAAAAGGUAACGCCUGCCCAGUGACAUUGUUUAACGGCCGCGGUAUUCUGACCGUGCGAAGGUAGCGUAAUCACUUGUCUUUUAAAUAAAGACUUGUAUGAAUGGCAUCACGAAGACUUAACUGUCUCCCUAGUCCUAUCAGUGAAACUGAUCUUCCCGUGCAAAAGCGGGAAUAAAACCAUAAGACGAGAAGACCCUAUGGAGCUUAAAACUAAAACCUAGCUAUACUAUCUAUUAAAAUUAAUUAAUACUAUAUCUAUAUAGACUUAGCCAAAGUUUUCAGUUGGGGUGACUGUGGAGAAAAACUAAUCCUCCAUGUAGAAUUAAGCUUUGAGCUACUACUCUUAUCAUUAGCAAGUCUAACUUUACUUGAUCCAAUAAUUUUGAUCAACGGACCAAGUUACCCUAGGGAUAACAGCGCAAUCCAUUUCAAGAGUCCAUAUCGACAAAUGGGUUUACGACCUCGAUGUUGGAUUAGGACAUCCUAGUGGUGCAGCCGCUACUAAC
RNAcentral lists this ribosomal RNA (1386 nucleotides) under Leptobrachium ngoclinhense. RNAcentral's name for it is "partial 16S rRNA". It matches the Rfam family "Bacterial large subunit ribosomal RNA", at positions 367 to 2569 of the family's 2925-position model. Lineage: Eukaryota; Metazoa; Chordata; Amphibia; Anura; Megophryidae. The record is from RNAcentral.